GCACCUACCGAUUGAAUGACUCGGUGAGAAAUUGGGACUGUUAGUUUGCUUGCUUCAUUGUGAGUGAGUUGAUGGAAACUUUGUCAAACCUCGCCAUUUAGAGGAAGGUGAAGUCGUAACAAGGUUUCC
This 129-nucleotide ribosomal RNA is filed under the name Peronospora sp. RNAcentral describes it as "partial small subunit ribosomal RNA". It matches the Rfam family "Eukaryotic small subunit ribosomal RNA", at positions 1678 to 1804 of the family's 1831-position model. The record is from RNAcentral. Lineage: Eukaryota; Oomycota; Peronosporomycetes; Peronosporales; Peronosporaceae.